UGUUUUUUGUAGAGAUGGAGUCUCACUUUGUUGUCCAGGCUUGUCUUGAACUCCUGGGCUCAUGUGAUUCUUCUGCCUUGGCCUCCCACUCUGCUGGGACUAUAGGUGUGAGCCAUUCUGCCCAGCCAUAUUGUCAAAUAAUAUUUAAAUGAUAUUUAAAUAAGAUGACAAAACACUCCUGGUAUAAUGGAUUUAUGUAUAUGUAUGUCAAGAGUGAGAGAGACAUAAAGACUGUCUGAUAUUUACUAAAUUUUUAAAUUUAUAUUUACUAAAUUAUUAAUAGUAAUUUUACUGGUAGUGGUUUUAUAGUAAUUUUCCUUUUAAAAUCUAUUUUCUUUCUUUCAUAGUGAGAAAAUAAACUACUGAAGUUUCCUUUAAAAAAAUCUGUAUCUGGGGGCUUCCCACUUUGGUGUUAGAGCUCACUGGGCCCAGGGAUUCUUAUCCAGGGGCAGGGGAUCUAUGGGGUACCCAGGUGGGCUCAAUGGAUGGACACUGUGACCCUCCUGAAAUGACACCUGUGAUGUUUAGUGCAAGUGUCUUCAGGGGAGACUGUUCACAGCACUAUCAGAUUCUCAAAGCUGCUCCCUCUUCUCCAUUACAGGGAAGGGAGGCUGGGUGGUCUGUUCAGGGUAACACAGCAGGUGAAUAGCAGAGCUGGGAUGUGGCUCACUCCCACUCUGAGUGCUCAGCAGGGGCUGCUGGAAGCUGUUUAAAGGCAGCUCUUACUUGCUGAAACUCCCUGGAAUGUCUCUGACCAAAAAGCCAGGGAACUAAACACCUCUGGUCCCUAGCCAGAGCUUGGGAAUGCCAGACUGCCCCCAGGGGAGCUGCAGCCUCACAAGUGCCGGUGCAGGGCUGGGCAGCCCAGGGGUAGUUGGGGGAGGGAAGAGAGCACAGGGGCCAGACGAUGGACAUGCCAUGGCCGACGGGAUGCUCUGGGCUGCAACAUUUAUACAUGGGUGAUGGCAGAGAGCGAUGGGCUCAGUAGUGACAGAAUGAAAUUACAUGUUUUCUCCAAACUUAGGGCUGGCCAAGGACAACCCUCUUAAUCUCUCAGUCUCUACAGCCCACAUUCAUAACAGGAAGAUAAUAAACCUCACUUGCCUCACUGCAUUGACGUGGGGAUAAAAUGAUGUAAGCUAUCUUGUCAAACACUGAGCUGGAACUCGCUCUCCCUCUAGUUCUCCAGGGUAAAAAACAUGGUGAGCAUUUCAGAUCAUAAAUCUAUGUGCAUUUGGAAUAAUAAGUGGUUCUGGUCAGUAAGAGGCUUACAAAACAGCAGUACUUCAAUAAAGUCUACAGACUACGUUUAUUCACAUUAUACACAAUUUCCCCUCUCCCUGGUUUUAUUUUUUCACUUU
Molecule: long non-coding RNA, 1361 nt
Filed under: Homo sapiens (human)
Lineage: Eukaryota; Metazoa; Chordata; Mammalia; Primates; Hominidae
Description: non-protein coding lnc-GFPT1-3:1
Source: RNAcentral